UAAGGGGACAAGAACACUUCUCCAUCUUUUGGGGAAGUGUCACAUCCAUACGGGUCUGGCAUUAAAGUGCUUGGAUGCUAGUGCAGCCUCUGUUUUGAGACAAAUAGAAAAUCAGUACUUCAGGUAGAGCCUUGGAAGGCAUAAGAGGGAUGUCAAAUAUUGUCUGUGUGCCGGGAGUGAUUGUCAUUUCCUGAUACCCUCUGGAGAGACCUUUUCCCCUCAACUGCCACAACAGAACAGAUAAAUCAAACAGUACGUUACUAUUGCGGCGGUAGUAUUAAAUCAAAGCAGCAUUUCUUGUAUUCCCACCUGCCUCAGAUGUGUAUUUGGGAAAACUGUCUACAGCUGGGCCCCCACAUUAGUAGCAGCUGGAGAAGGUUUAGCUGGUGAAAAGUCAGAGUUUAAAAAAAAUCUGUAGUUUGGUGGAGUUGCUUGCUAGAUCAUAUGAAGAAAAUACAGUGAAAGGUUUAGGCCUCAUCUUAAGAAAGAUAAGUGCUAUUUUUGGAGUCUCAGAAUCUGAAAAUGGAGGAUGGGAACAGCUGGAUUUCUUUGCUUGCAGUGACAAGAGCCUCACCUCUGUGCAGGCGAAGCUGCUCUGCUGUGUGAGCUGUCCCCAUGUUUGGUGGGAGCUACUGAUCUGAAGAAACAGUGGACAGCAAGAGCCCAUCAGAGCGUCUUUAUUCUGAGAUUUACCUCAUUCAUGAGUGUCUAUCAAUCAAAAGGAAACCAGAACCUCCAAAAGAACAGUGUGGGGUUGUCUUUUUUUUCUUCCCUGAAACCAUUUUGCUCCUUGAGGUGAGGAAAAUUAACUCCAAAAAUAGCUCCUUAUAGAACAUUACUUAUGAGCUGGGUGCUUGUAACUACACUUUGUCCUUUGAGAUAAAGGUUGUGGCUAUUGCUUGGUGUUUUACAGAAUGAAUCAUGUUUUCUCCUUUGGGAUUCUUUAAAAAUGGAAGUCACUUCUGAGAUGCACUGUGGUGUCUGGGAGUCCUUUAAAAUCAUUAGGAGGAGAAAAUGAAAUGUAUUAUGAAGAUUUUUUUGAAGAAAAA
Cygnus olor (mute swan) is the source of this 1049-nucleotide long non-coding RNA. RefSeq lists it as uncharacterized. Lineage: Eukaryota; Metazoa; Chordata; Aves; Anseriformes; Anatidae. The record is from RefSeq and is a predicted model, not a curated record. The transcript is spliced from 3 exons.